This 468-nucleotide ribosomal RNA is filed under the name uncultured bacterium. Its description in RNAcentral is "partial 16S ribosomal RNA". It matches the Rfam family "Bacterial small subunit ribosomal RNA", at positions 28 to 507 of the family's 1533-position model. The record is from RNAcentral.
GACGAACGCUGGCGGCGUGCUUAACACAUGCAAGUCGAACGGAAAGGCCCUGCUUUUGUGGGGUGCUCGAGUGGCGAACGGGUGAGUAACACGUGAGUAACCUGCCCUUGACUUUGGGAUAACUUCAGGAAACUGCGGCUAAUACCCGAUAGGAGCUCCUGCUGCAUGGUGGGGGAUGGAAAGUUUCGGCGGUUGGGGCUGGACUCGCGGCUUAUCAGCUUGUUGGUGGGGUAGUGGCUUACCAAGGCUUUGACGGGUAGCCGGCCUGGGAGGGUGACCGGCCACCUGGGGACUGCGGUAGGGACCAGAAGCGUACCUUAGGCAGCGGGCGGGAACAUUGCGGAAUGGGCGCAAGUCUGAGGCAGCAACGCCGCGUGCGUGAUGACGGCCUUCGGGUUGUAAACCGCUUUCUCCUGUGACGAAGCGUUAGUGACGGUAAUGGGUAAAGAAGCACCGGCUAACUACGUG